UACUUAGAUGCAGGGAAGGCAUCUGAAGCAGGUGAGCCCCUAAUGUUUCCCUAGUAAAGCUCUGUGCAACUGUUCCUUUAAUUUCCCAGCUGACUCAUCUGUAAGUCAAAAUUAUAUCUGAUGCAUAGAUAUCAGCAAUCAGUAGAUUUCAGCAGUUGCUGCCUCCCAUUUGCCUGCUGCAUAGGUAUGUAGGUUUUUACAUAUCAAGAGACUCUGUCCUAGUGGAAGCUUGUCUUUAGUUUGUGGAUUUCUUGGUAUUUCUGGAGAAAUACCAAGUUUUUAUAGUUGAUGGGCAUGAUGAGAAAAAGAUUAGUUUCUGAUUGUACUUACUUGAUGUGCUCACUUACCUUAGAGACACAUUUUUAGCUUGCUUUUAGUAUUUAUUAUAGGUGUAUUUUCUGGAAAUAAGUUGGUUUUACAUAAACCCAGCUGGACUGUUCCUCUUGGCACUUGGAGUGUGUGGAAUGCCUGAGGAAUGCAGAGGAAGCACAGGUACAAGUGCAGCUACAGUCCUGAGGCGAGAUUCCUGCUUGAGAUGUAGCCUGCUGCUGUUAGCUGAGCUCUAAAGUUGUACAUUAAAGCAAAACCAAGCUCCUCCAAAUAAAAUCAGCCAUGCUGGGGUUUUCUGCGAAUUCCACUUCCUAGCUGGUGCAGGGAUGACACUGGCAGCAUGGCUAGAACAUUUAGACUUUUUCAACUGUGCUUAUGUGCUCCAUGUGGACAUAGUUGAAUGGUUUAAUCUACUCUGUUCCUUACUCUGCAUCUGUUCCAAGCGACUCUGUGUGGGCAUGCUGAAGGUGUUUGCAGUGUACCAUAUUCUAUCCAGGGCACAGUGGAGCCAGAGUAGUACAAAAAUCUCUACUAGAAGAAUGAGGAAUGAUUUUUAUCAGGUGUGUCACUGGGCCCUGGUAACCAACCCCCUGUUCCUUCACAAGUUCUUUCAGUGUCCCCUGACAAGUGUUUGCCAUAAAUAAUUCUGCAUUUUUAAGUUGCAACAUCAGUGGUUAAGGUGCCUUUCUGCAUGUUCUUUGUGGUGUUUGUGUCACUGUACAAGUUGAAUAAGCAUUGCCCUCAGGCAGCUCCUGUCUUGUAAUAAAUACUGCUUUCAGCUGACAGACCCUUUCUUGCUGUUUUUCUGCAGGCAGCCAGUCCUACAGGAAGUGAGAACAGUUCCUUUCGUCAAGAAUCACCUGUCACAUUGUUGAAGGACAGAGCCAGCUUCCUGUAAUGAGCUUUACUGGCGACCUACUGAGAAGAGAGUGGGGUUAUUGACAUUGCAUGGCGUAUGCCUUGCACAGUGAUUCAGGGAUUAUCUGAUGGGAUGCAUCUGUUGUCAUCUCUAAAGCUGGCUAAGACAAGGGCCUUGUUAUUACAAUUCAAGGUCUUGGCAGCAGCCCAGGACUGAUAUGGGAGAUGCCUAUAGUCCACAUAUCUCCAAUAGUUUACUCUAAAGUGACGUUGCCACCUUGAGAAGAAACUCUUGCUCUCUGCCUUCUGUGUCAGAGUAAAUGGCCUUUGGAGACGGUAUGUAAUGCUCAGCACAGGAGGCUGUCCAAGCAGCUGUCUUUUUUACAUACUGCUCACUGAACUUAUUAUGCCUUUGUGAAUUAGUUGGGAGAUACCUGUGUUCAAAGGAUCUGAACAAGGGGGGAAAAUGUAUGCCAUGUGUGCAGAGCCUCACUGCCUGGAGCAGUCUCGUGUGGAGCGAGUUCUGUAUUUGGCCACCAGAGACUGGAGAGAAAGUAUUUCAUCAACUUCUGAUUGACCUGUGGCAGUUGAAAAAAACUGUGCCAGUGCCUAAGACAGCAUCCAUGCUCACCACCAUGAUCAGCAGCUUUAUCUGCAGCAAUCACUCCUACUAUUUCUUCCUAUGUUUUUUUCUUAAUUCUACUGUUAAACUUUUGUGGAGUGAAUAAUCCUUUUUUUUUCUGCUGGAAUGAAGAACUUUGUUUCUUCAUUCAAAGAAACCAUGAGAAUGUGAACACAUCAGAAGUAGCUUUCUCUUUACAUGUGGCUGUGGACAAUCUUUUUUGGUCUUUGUUGCCUUUUUUAUGUUCUUCAUGUCUGAGUGAUAACUGGUUAUGACUUUAUGGAAUUUGUGCUAGUCUUCAGUGAAUAUGAAGUGCUGACUAGGCAAGAGAGAUCAGAAAGCCCUCCACUAAAUAAAAAAAAAGAGCAGUUAGUUCCACCAGUAAAUUACAAAGCUAGUGCUGUUUGUUGUUCUUUCUCUCAAAAGUAACAGUGACCAGGAAACACUAAAUUCUUCACUGGGGGUUGGCUUUUCAGUAACAUCCCCUCAUGUGACACAACUGUUAGGACAACAGCAAUAACUUUUCCAGAACUGUAGUUUGCCUUGGAACUUGACUGCUGCUGAGAUAGACAUGCACAUAAUGCAGGCAGUAUAUUUGCCAUAGGCAGACUUCAAAAGCAAAUGCUUUAACAGGUACAAAAAGGGAAAAGGUAAGGCUUUUGUUUUGGAGUUUCACCUUGAGAAACAAACAAGUGGAACACAGCCUGAAAGAUAUAGCAACUCCAGUAGUGACACUACCUUCCCCUAGAGUAAAGAUAUGUAAAGCCAACAACCAUUUCCAUAGGACCAGAAGAAAGCCUUACGCUUCUGAUGAGGCCUUGAGUUGUGCCUCUUGGUAUGUGGUGGCAACUGAAGAGCCAAGCCCAUUUCCUUGUGUGAUGUGGUUGCCAUGAGACCCACCAAGAUCACUGAUGCUGUGUCAAAUGUUUGCAGAAAGGGCUUCCAUGUGCAAGUUCAGGUAACCCCUUUGGAUAAUAAACUUUAAACUGGAAUCAGGAUAUUCUGUAGGAGAAGACAUCCCCCCCAAUAAGACACCCCCCCCAAUAAGACUAGUUUAAAAUCUAGUCUUAUUCAUGUGGCAGGGAUGAUUUACUGCUCAGUAACUUCAGGGUCCUAAAACAAAGCAGGCAGUAUUGCUUUAACUCCCAAACUACAUAGGACAUAAAGUGAUUAUAGACACUUCAUAGCCCCGAUAGCAUAGAUCUCCAUGCAUGACAAAGAAAUCACAGAAAAUCUUUGACUUGUACUUCAAUUCAUCCACUUCCUCUCAGAGUUGAUAAACACAAUUAAUGGAAAAAUGGUUCACAAAAGGGCAAUAAUGGAAAACAGCAAUUAAGACUCACCUGGUGGUUUUCCAGGGUAGGCAACUUUUCUUUUUCCUCUGCAAUGCUGUCUUUUUUCCAACAUUGUAAUAGCAGCGGUCAAGUUAUUAACACUGACGCGCUAAGUGCAUUCGUUUGCAUACACAGAUAACACAUAAUGCUCCAGUAGUUGAGUUUUAUUUAUUUUACAGCAAUGCUGAGUUUCGUGUUGGAGCAAAUUUGGUUCUCUGAGAUGCAGAGCAGCAGUUCUUGAGAAGUGUUGAUUGCAGACUAAUUUUCUUUAUUUGGAGGGACACAACAACCUCACUGGCUUUACCAUUAGUUGAGAUCUAAAUCGCACCACUCCUUCCAAGUCAGCUGAAGGUAGUUGGUUGGUAUGGCUACAACUGUUCCAGCAGAUAAAGAUUCAUGAAAAACAAAAUGCGUCUUGUAGAACUGCACUGAAAGGAACAAGCUGAAGUUUAUGUACUUGUGUGUUUGUUUCUUGCUCAGGCCUAUUGCAAUGCAGAACUUUAUAUGUACAUUUUUCCAUAUUCUACUCCUAGAUAUUCUGGAGUGUGAGUAUAGAGUUUGAAAACUGAGACUAUUUUUUGAUAGUAAUGCUGAGAAACUUCAUUUUCCAAAUCAGAGAAAAACUAUGGAUAUGCUUAGAAAUAAAUUCUCAGCUGAGCAG
RNAcentral lists this long non-coding RNA (3805 nucleotides) under Strigops habroptila (Kakapo). RNAcentral describes it as "lncRNA (ENSSHBG00005010308.1)". The record is from RNAcentral. Lineage: Eukaryota; Metazoa; Chordata; Aves; Psittaciformes; Psittacidae.